This 774-nucleotide ribosomal RNA is filed under the name uncultured Neocallimastigales. RNAcentral describes it as "partial large subunit ribosomal RNA". It matches the Rfam family "Eukaryotic large subunit ribosomal RNA", at positions 24 to 645 of the family's 3401-position model. Lineage: Eukaryota; Fungi; Neocallimastigomycota; Neocallimastigomycetes; Neocallimastigales. The record is from RNAcentral.
UAUGUGAUCGUCUCUCGCAUAUCAAUAAGCGGAGGAAAAGAAACUAACAAGGAUUCCCCUAGUAACGGCGAGUGAAGCGGGAAGAGCUCAAAUUUGAAAUCUUAAAGGGUUUCCCUUUACGAAUUGUAGUUUAAAGAAGUGUUUUCUGUUGAGGUUUUGGUAAAAGUUCUUUGGAAUAGGACAUCAUAGAGGGUGAGAAUCCCGUAUUUGACCUUUACUUUCAACUUUGUGAUACACUUUCAAAGAGUCGGAUUGUUUGGGAAUGCAGUCCAAAAUGGGUGGUAAAUUUCAUCUAAAGCUAAAUAUUGGCGAGAGACCGAUAGCGAACAAGUACCGUGAGGGAAAGAUGAAAAGAACUUUGAAAAGAGAGUUAAACAGUACGUGAAAUUGUCAAAAGGGAAGCGUUUGACACCAGUGUUGUUUUUCUGAAAAUCAAUUAAAGAAUUGUUUAUGCUAAGUUGUUUAGACUUUAUCAGCUAUCUGUUUAGUUUUGAGCUUUUCUUUAAUGCACUUUUCAGUUAACAAGUCAACAUCAAUUUCUUUUGCUGUAAAAAAGCUUGAGGAAGGUGGCUUGAGAUUCGUCUUAAGUGUUUAUAGCCUCUUGCCUAUGCAGUCGGAGAGAUUGAGGUCUGCAGCGUAGAUCCUUCGGGGCUAAAUGCAUUUGUGCUAAGUUAUAACAUUUUAUAGACAACUUGUUGACUAUGAUUUGUCUUGUAGCUUACUCGCUUAUGUUAUUUUACCUACGCUUAGGAUGUUGAAGUCAUCGUAUCGCGC